This 703-nucleotide long non-coding RNA is filed under the name Struthio camelus australis. RNAcentral describes it as "lncRNA (ENSSCUG00000006623.1)". Lineage: Eukaryota; Metazoa; Chordata; Aves; Struthioniformes; Struthionidae. The record is from RNAcentral.
ACUGUGUGUCCUGCUUGCGCAGCAGCGUGUUCCUUUCUUAGGUUUUGGGCAAAGUGAGGGUCAGGGAGGAAGGGAGGCAGCUUUUGAAGGGAGGGAGGGCUGUUGCUCGCCUUGAGCUGUGACAGGUACUGAAAUUAGACUGUAAAAGGUCACAGUGUAGCUUCCUGGAUAUGUCAUAGAAACAAGGCUGGCAAAGGGCUCAUGCACAGCAUCAAAAGACCUUGAACUCUUGUGCAAAUUUACCAGGGGAUGUGGAAAAGCAAACACAGAGAAGUGCAGCACAGAGAGUGCUGUGGUGGCUAGAGCUACUUCUGAAGAAGCGCUGUUCUUAACUAGAGUUGGUCAUGAAUUUUCUGACCAAAUGCUUCUCCUUAGAAAUUGCCUGCUCUGGUCAAACUCAGAAUUUUUCCCUGGGAUCUAUUGGAUCGGGAAUCUUUGGGACUUGGAGCUUGGAACUGGAGAAGAUUUACAGCCUGACUGUCUAUACCUAUGUCUGAGAUCGUAAAUGGAGAUGGAGAUGAACUACAAAUGCCUUCUCUGAAUAUUCUGGAGGUUCCUUCCAACACAUUUAGACCUUGGAGUUUUAGCAAAAAGUAAUAACAACAGACCAGCAUAUCAGCUACCUACAACAGUGCAUACAACAUGGUGAGAUUGCAAAGGUGAGUAGGAAAACAUAUCUGAAUCUGACUCUGUGGGAUUGCAC